This 465-nucleotide ribosomal RNA is filed under the name uncultured bacterium. RNAcentral's name for it is "bacterial SSU rRNA". It matches the Rfam family "Bacterial small subunit ribosomal RNA", at positions 338 to 795 of the family's 1533-position model. The record is from RNAcentral.
CCUACGGGCUGCACCAGUGGGGAAUAUUGCACAAUGGGCGCAAGCCUGAUGCAGCCAUGCCGCGUGUAUGAAGAAGGCCUUCGGGUUGUAAAGUACUUUCAGCGGGGAGGAAGGUGUUGUGGUUAAUAACCACAGCAAUUGACGUUACCCGCAGAAGAAGCACCGGCUAACUCCGUGCCAGCAGCCGCAGUAAUACGGAGGGUGCAAGCGUUAAUCGAAAUUACUGGGCGUAAAGCGCACGCAGGCGGUCUGUCAAGUCGGAUGUGAAAUCCCCGGGCUCAACCUGGGAACCGCAUUCGAAACUGGCAGGCUAGAGUCUUGUAGAGGGGGGUCGAAAUCCAGGUGUAGCGGUGAAAUGCGUAGAGAUCUGGAGGAAUACCGGUGGCGAAGGCGGCCCCCUGGACAAAGACUGACGCUCAGGUGCGAAAGCGUGGGGAGCAAUCAGGAUUAGAUACCCCUGUAGUC